Molecule: ribosomal RNA, 274 nt
Filed under: uncultured bacterium
Lineage: Bacteria
Description: partial 16S ribosomal RNA
Rfam family: Bacterial small subunit ribosomal RNA
Source: RNAcentral
ACACGAACCGUACAAACGUUAUUCGGAAUCACUGGGCUUAAAGGGUGCGUAGGCGGCUUGGAAAGUUGGGUGUGAAAUCCCUCGGCUCAACCGAGGAAUUGCGCUCAAUACUGCCAGGCUAGAGGGAGACAGAGGUGAGCGGAACUUAGGGUGGAGCGGUGAAAUGCGUUGAUAUCCUAAGGAACACCAGUGGCGAAGGCGGCUCACUGGGUCUCUUCUGACGCUGAGGCACGAAAGCUGGGGGAGCGAACGGGAUUAGAUACCCCGGUAGUCC